RNAcentral lists this ribosomal RNA (468 nucleotides) under uncultured bacterium. RNAcentral describes it as "partial 16S ribosomal RNA". It matches the Rfam family "Bacterial small subunit ribosomal RNA", at positions 28 to 507 of the family's 1533-position model. The record is from RNAcentral.
GACGAACGCUGGCGGCGUGCUUAACACAUGCAAGUCGAACGGAAAGGCCCUGCUUUUGUGGGGUGCUCGAGUGGCGAACGGGUGAGUAACACGUGAGUAACCUGCCCUUGACUUUGGGAUAACUUCAGGAAACUGGGGCUAAUACCGGAUAGGAGCUCCUGCUGCAUGGUGGGGGUUGGAAAGUUUCGGCGGUUGGGGAUGGACUCGCGGCUUAUCAGCUUGUUGGUGGGGUAGUGGCUUACCAAGGCUUUGACGGCUAGCCGGCCUGAGAGGGUGACCGGCCACAUUGGGACUGAGAGACGGCCCAGACUCCUACGGGAGGCAGCAGUGGGGAAUAUUGCACAAUGGGCGGAAGCCUGAUGCAGCAACGCCGCGUGCGGGAUGACGGCCUUCGGGUUGUAAACCGCUUUCGCCUGUGACGAAGCGUGAGUGACGGUAAUGGGUAAAGAAGCACCGGCUAACUACGUG